AGAAUGUUUGUCUGCCUGAUGAGAGCCACUUGGGUUAAGAAACUACCUAGUGUUGCAGAGAUAGGAACAUGGGAGAGAAACAAUCUGGAUAACAUGAAAGUGAUGCUGGUUGCUAAGGGAAGGCAACUUGAUUCUGUGGGAAGGGCUGUAGCUGAUCCAUCCGUUGUCUAG
This 171-nucleotide small RNA is filed under the name Pongo abelii (Sumatran orangutan). RNAcentral's name for it is "processed transcript". Lineage: Eukaryota; Metazoa; Chordata; Mammalia; Primates; Hominidae. The record is from RNAcentral.